Molecule: long non-coding RNA, 1809 nt
Organism: Halichondria panicea
Lineage: Eukaryota; Metazoa; Porifera; Demospongiae; Suberitida; Halichondriidae
Exons: 3
Source: RefSeq, a predicted model, not a curated record
UUUUCACAUCAUAGAUAAUACGUACAUGUAUUACUAUAUCGGUGAACGAUCUAUGAAAUUUACAAGCUCACAUAAAGACUGCUAUACUAUACUUAUACUUACACUACUGAUAUUCUAGCUAUACUAUACUUAGCUAUACUAUACUACUUGCCAGAGUCACACACUCCUGGUCUUUCACCGUCCUGGUCAGCGUCUAGGCCCAUGUCAUGCAUGACAGUUCAUCAGCGUCUGGCAUAAAGCUGGUACCCUUUGGGAGGUAUCCUACUAUCCCCUCUCCUUCAUAGGCACUGUCAUCACCAGGCUGUCCUCAAGCACAUCGGCCACAUCGGCACAAGUAAACAAUCUAGCCAUAGCUCGUGCGGUAAGAUGAUUCUACAGCUCUUCCUCUAUACAGGGAUGUGCGUAGUUCGAGCUACUUCCUAAGUAUCGCACAAUUAGAAUUUCGCAAAAAAAGUCACUAUUGCGGGCCACGAUCGUGGCCCGUGACGGGUGUUAAAAAAAAAUUAUUCAUGACGUUUGAGCGAACAUAUCUCCGGAUAGAAAAUAGCUAGGAGGUCGAUCUUGGUAAGAACAAUUCACUUUAUCGAUUCAACAAUAAAAAUAAACUCAGGUAUAUGCUGCAGAUGAUGUUAAGUUAAGUACAGUUCCAGUUUAAGUACAGUUCCAGUGUGCGAUAUGCUAUCGCACAAGAUAAUCGGCACUAAUAAUCGGCACUAUUGCUAUUGGCGAAGCAUUGAAGAUGUUUUAUGAAGAAAGGACACAGUCUCUGCAGAGUCAGCUAGGUUGCUUACUUCACAAACGGGGUGUUGAAUUAUUGUUGCUGUAUUUCAACAGCCACGACUAACAACACCAUUCUUGGGACUGCGUACUUAUACGACAUCAAUACUACAAAUCACAUUUUGGUUUCAUUGUAAGUUACCAUAAUAAUGUUAUAGGUUACAUGCACAGCGGCCAAACAUGAGGCUAGACUAUGAUUAUUGCUAAAAUAUGCCAAAAGUUCAAAGUCUAUAAAAUUUAUUGCAGCAUUUUUCAUACUUUUGCAGUUCUCUCCUCGCUAGCGCAUUAUAAGAUUCCUGUUGAGCACAAUCUGGAUGUUGGGCCAGCAGAGACAAACUCUAAUUCGCAACUCCUGCUUUCAGACGAAUUUAUUUUGCAUGAGGUACAACGUGGACUACUAGGGGAUUAUUGCGAUGGGACCUACUACAAAUCACACCCACACCCACUUUUCACACCCACUUUUCAUGAACAAUCCGGAAGCACUCCAGCUAAUCAUCUACUACGAUGAUGUAGAGGUUUGCAAUCCACUUGGGUCUAAAUCUACGAAACAUAAGCUAGGUAUUGUAAUUACUUGACACCCAAACGAACCACACAGCAUUUUCUUGGGCAACGUGCAACCAAGGUAUCGUUCUACUGAGAAAAGUAUUCAGUUGCUGGCAAGUCAUCUGUACUAGUUAAAUACGGGGCAAUUAUGGAUGAGAUAAAGAAACUAGAGGUAAGUUUACUAUAAAUUAUGAUGCCUUCAUUGCUCACUGGAGUAACCCUAAACAUCAAUGGCAGCUCUCCAUUACUUUAGUUCCUGGAGAUAAUUUAGCCAGUCAGUACCUUGGAGAAUGUAGACAUUGCAUGGCAGUCAAUGAAGACAUGCAGACAACCUUGUUUUGUUUUUAAUGUUGGUUUGCAAUCACAGUUUAACCCUAAUUGACAGUGAAGUGAAAUGUCUGUAAAUUCUCUAUCGGGUUUCCAGAGCAAUAAAAUGCCUAGCAGCCCAUACAACACAAAAUUGUGUUGCCAUAACAACCACGGUUAUUA